This 499-nucleotide ribosomal RNA is filed under the name uncultured bacterium. Its description in RNAcentral is "bacterial SSU rRNA". It matches the Rfam family "Bacterial small subunit ribosomal RNA", at positions 23 to 518 of the family's 1533-position model. The record is from RNAcentral.
CUCAGGAUGAACGCUGGCGGCGUGCCUAACACAUGCAAGUCGAACGGAACAGGACUUUCGCUAAGCUUCGGCUUAGUUGUUUGUUUAGUGGCGGACGGGUGAGUAACGCGUGGACAACCUGCCGUAUACAGGGGGAUAACAGAGAGAAAUUUCUGCUAAUACCGCAUAAGCGCACGGGGAGGCAUCUUCGUUGUGUGAAAAGAUUUAUCGGUAUACGAUGGAUCCGCGUCUGACUUAGCCAGUUGGCGGGUAAAGGCCCGACCAAAGCGACGAUCCAGUAGCCGGCCUGAGAGGGUGAACGGCCACAUUGGGACUGAGAGACGGCCCAAACUCCUACGGGAGGCAGCAGUGGGGGAUAUUGCACAAUGGGGGAAACCCUGAUGCAGCGAACCGCCGCGUGAGUGAAGAAGUAUUUCGGUAUGGUAAAGCUCUAUCAGCAGGGAAGAAGCUAGACGGUACCUGACUAAGAAGCACCGGCUAAAUACGUGCCAGCAGCUGC